Long non-coding RNA from Homo sapiens (human), 9438 nucleotides. RefSeq lists it as uncharacterized. The transcript is spliced from 2 exons. Lineage: Eukaryota; Metazoa; Chordata; Mammalia; Primates; Hominidae. The record is from RefSeq and is a predicted model, not a curated record.
AGGCGGAGUCUCACUCUGUUGCCCGGGCUGGAGUGCAGGGAUGCGAACUCGGCGGACUGCAAACUCCGUUUCCCGGGUUCAAGCGAUUCUCCUGCCUCAGCCUCCUGAGUAGCUGGGAUUACAGGCACCUGUCACCAUGCCCGGCUAAUUUUUGUACUUUUAGUAGAGACGGGGUUUUGCCAUGUUGGCCGGGCUGGUCUUGAACUCCUGACCUCAGGUGAUCUGCCUGCCUCGGCCUCCCAAAGUGCUGGGAUUACAGGCAUGAGCCACCGCGCCCAGGCAGGACUUUUUUAUUGAUGUUGUAUGUGGUUAUUCAAUGUAUGUUUUUUCAAAUCUGUGAUAUAUCAAAGUGUAAUCCAUCUUUUGACUGGAUGUAAUCUCCUUUAAAUCUUAAAAAGAUUCAUGUUCUCUGAAUGAUGCCACCAUAAUAAUGUUUACAUGUAGUGAGCAUGUAAACAAUUGAAAUGAAAACAAACAUAUUCCAAAUGAGUGUGAAGGAGCCUCACUUCAGGAAAAUGAAAGAAAUAUGAAAUACAUAUGUUUUCCUUUUUCAUAGGGAUUAUUAUUUUAAGAGUUGAAAUUGGUUUUUGAAAUAUGUUACAUUGUAGAAUAAGUUCAACAUACAUUUUCUGAGCCCAGCUAUGUGCCAAGCACUGUGAGGGAACACAGUAGUGAAUGAGAUCCUUCUGGCCUCUAGGGGACUCUCAGUGGGGGCAGUAACUAUAACACAGAGCAGCCUAUGGUAAGUCCUGGAUUUUUGAGGAUUGUCUUUUUCACUAAAUCAGACUUUUUUAAUAGGUGGAGAGAAGAAUAAUGGAUUGCUUUAAUAAUCUGUUGUGAUGGGAAAGUGUUUCAUUAAGAAUAUUGUUAUCUCUAAAGUGCUAUUGCCAGGAGUUGAUUCUUAAACUUGAUCAAAGUGGUGUUGUGUGAAGAGGCUGCAGGGAUUCCUUUUCUCCUCCCCUUAUCCAUCAUUCACUCCUAUAUUUUAUUAGGGGAAUAUUGUGGCUUUGUUGUAGAAGUACAGGGUAUCUUACAAUGAUUUUGAUGCAUAUUUUCAACUGAGAAUGAUUUGUUUGGUUUGAAUGAAGGAUUGGACUCUGAGAGUAGGAUUCUUUUACUAGUACAACUAUAUGUCUUGCCUAAUUAUAGUUCUUUCUUCUAAGAUCCUCAAAGUGUGGCCUGUGCAGUGUAAAUAUAUCCAUUUGUUUAGUAUAUCUAAUUAAGUUCAUGGAUCAUUUCUAAAGUGGCAGUAAUCUGCCCAUUUAUUCAACUGAUUGUACUGUGACAUGCUGGAUAGGAUCAGUGGUUUAUGGGACUUUUGCUCUGAUAGAAAUAUUAAUGAGUGGAAAAAAUAUGUUGACAUCUCGCUACAUGAUUUAAAGCUUAGUCUUAAUAAUACCUUAAACUUGUAAGACUGUUUAUAAUAGAACACUUGGACAAUUCUCUUAUUUCAUUUCCCCAGAAUUUUAUUAAAUAGGUUGGGGAAGCAGCAUGUGUCUGUGCUUGGAGACUUGGGAUCAAACCUCUGCAUUAUUGUUACUCGCUGAAAAACCUAGUAACCUUUUUCUUUUCUUUUCUAGACAGAUAGCUCUGUCACCCAGGCUGGAGUGCAGUGGUGCGAUCUCAGCUCAUUGCAACCUCCACCUCCCGGGUUCAGACAAUUCUUGUGUUUCAGCCCCUCAAGUAGCUGGGAUUACAGGCGUGCACCACCACACCCGGCUAAUUUUUGUAUUUUUAGUAGAGACGGGCUCUUGCCAUGUUGGCCAGGCUGGUCUCGGACUCCUGGUCUCAAGUGAUCUGCCCGCCUUGACAUCCCAAAGUGCUGUGAUUACAGGGUCUUGCUCCAUUGCCCAGGCUGGAGUGCAGUGGUGUGAUCAUGGCUCACUGCAGUCUGGACCUCCUGGGCUCAAAUGACCCUCCUGCCUCAGCCUCUUGAGUAGCUGGGACUACAGGUAUGAACCACCAUGCCUGGCUAAUUUUUUUUUUUUUUUUCUUUGUAGAGAUGGGGUUUUUUGCCAUGUUGCCCAGGCUGGUCUCAAACUCCUGGGCUCAAGCGAUCUGACCACCUCGGCCUCCCUCCCAAAGUGCUCGGAUUACAGACAUGAACCACCAUGCUUGGCCUGUUCCCAUUUAUAAAAGUGGAAUCAUAAGAGCUGUUCUUACCACAGAGCUUUAGUUGAGGCUGAAAACAAUAUAAAAAUACAUUUGCAGUUUUUCUUUACUUUGUAUCUUGCCCUUUCAAUUUAUCAUAUGAAGAAACUUAUUCUCAGAGGUGGUAGGAGACCUAUCAAAGGUAGAAUAGAUAAUGACAGCCAGACUUAGGUCUUCUGACUCAAAGGUUUGAGUUUUUCCCCAUUGAACUAAACUUUUGGGUAGACACAAUAUCAACUGAUUGUUGAAAUGGAAACAUUUUUAUCUACUUUGAUUUCCCCCCUGUUUUUAGAUAAAAGAGGGGUACAUGUUCAGAGGAAUGUAAUGGCUUUCUAAGUCAACAGCCUCUCAAGUGGUAGAUACCAGAGCAGUCUCCUAGCCAGAUGUGACUUCCAGAGCUCUCUGCCUUCCCUGGCUCACUUUCUCUUCAUUCAAAUUAUUCUCUAGAAAAGGUUGUCAUUUAAAGGUCAUCCUGUCAUAUCUCAAAGGCACUGCACUAUCCCAAUGCCGAAAACCCCCUAUUUCUCUUGUGUGCACCCCACUUUUCAGGGAAAGUAGAACCACAAAAGUAGAACUUUCAAUAUUGAGCUGCUAAAGUGUUCCAAUAUUGGGCUUAAUUUACCAAGUUCAUAAUGACAAACUGAAAAAGAGUAGUCCAAUUAAAAUCUGGAAACAGAUAUUAAUACUUUUUAAAGAAUAAGUAUAAUGAUAGGUAAGGAUUUCUCUUUUGAUUCUCACUUUUUAGGCUUUGUUCUAUAUAUUUAAAUAUAUAGAAAUUCACAUAUAUAAAUAAACAAAAUAUUGUAUAUAUUAAAAAAAAAGAAUAAGGAUAAUGAACAAUGCUAAAAUACCAUGUAGUGUGAGUCUGGUUGGAAACAAAAAUUACCUUUAACAAAUUCUAUUUUAGUUAGUGUUUAAACACAGCAUCCACAUUUUGAACCAGGUUUCAACAUUAUGAGAUACGUGUUUGGAUAAUUGUAUACUUCAUGGAAGUAUAAUAAACAUAUAUGUACUAAUAAUCCUUUCUUAAGAAUAUCUGCCCAUUGAAGGGUCUUGUAGGUUGGAGGCAAAGUUUAUUUAUAUAACUUAUUUUUUAUUUUUUUUUUAUUUUUUGAGACGGAGUCUCACUCUGUUGCCCAGGCUGGAGUGCAGUGGUGUGAUCCCGGCUCACUGCAACCUCUUCCUCCUAGUUCAAGCAAUUCCCCUGCCUCAGCCUCCUGAGUAACUGGGAUUACAGGCACCCACCACCAGCCAGGCUAAUUUUUGUACUUUUAGAAAAGACGGAGUUUCGCCAUGUUGGCCAGGUUGGUCUUGGACUCCUGACCUCAGGUGAUCCGCCUGCCUCAGCCUCCCAAAGUGCUGGGAUUACAGGCGUGAGCCACUGUGCCCAGCCAAUUUAUAUAACUUAUUUAAUGUGUGGUUAUAGUUUGGAUGUUUCUGGAUAAUCGUUUAAAGAUGCACCAGUUACUGGAUUACAGAAUAAGAUACGUCAAUUUAAGUUUCAAAUUUCAAAUGCUUGGAGACUGCCAGAUUUCAUAGAUUUGGAAGGGGAAUCCCUGGAACCAAAUCUCGGAAAGUUGGCCAGGUAGCCAAUGGUGGACACUUUCUGUGAUGGAGCUUUAGCUACUGGGGCAGUGUCUUUGAACUGUUCUCAUCAGUGCAGAGUUCUUUUUAUUUGGGCAAAAUCAGCCUUUCUGUUCUCUAGAUACAAAUUAUGUCUAAUCCUUCUUUCACAUGGUAGCCCUUAGACAACAGAUUUUUGAGAACAGGUACUAAUUCUCUCUUAGUCUUAAUUUUCCUCUUUUCUAGGCCAAUCAAACCUAAGUUCCACAUGCUUUUUUCUCUAUAUAAAAUGAUUUCCAUAUAAUUAUCCUAAGCUUUGAGAAUAAUGUUUUUUUUUUUUAUUAUUUUGCACAACAGGGGUUUUCACCAAUUUUUAUUAUAAAAGGUUAAAAAAGAAUUAAAGAUUACAGAAAGGAAUAAAAUGAGAAAAGUUAAGUAUUCUCUCCCCUCCCUGAUCAUUUAGGUCCUUGCCUCAGAGAUAACUUCUACUAAAAGUUUCUGGAAGGACUUUCAACGUACAACAUGAGUGUGUGUAAAUAUAUAUGCUUUACACAUAUAUGUAUAUGUAUGUGUAUACCAUUAGAAUUAUAAUAAAAUACAAAUUCAAAGUUUAACCAUGUUCAUAUAUGUACAUUGUUCAAUAAUGCUUAAUGACAAAAAUAGCUACAAUUUAAUUAUUAUAAUUCAGGGAUUAUGCUAAACACUGCAUAUGGUGUCACAUUUAACCCUCAUAAGAAUCCUAUAAGGUAAAUGAUAGUAACGGUCAUCUUAUAGUUGAAUAAACUAAGGCACAGAGAGGUUAAGUUGCGUGAGGUUACACAGGCUCUACUUAUUCUAUAUUGAGUAAAAUGCCAUAGAGAAAUGCCCAUACGAUUGCAAAUGAAGAAUUUAGUGGUGAAUUUUUUUAUUUGCUUCUUUCUCUGAGGCAAGGAAAAAUAGGAGUGAUUGAGAGAACCAAAAUGAGUUCAGUUGUUUUUUAAUCCCAUGAAAGUACAAAUAUGUUUUCUUUACUUAAAUAUAAAGAAUUUAAAAACACUGGAAAUGAAAACAGCAAAAACAGCAUUGAAUAAAGCUGAUUAAGACUUGAUACGGCACUGAGAGAACAAUACAAUUGAUGAAGCAUUAUAUAUUUUUGGAAAAAUAUAUUGCAAAUGAAAAUGGAUCCCCACUGCUCUUAGGAUAAAAUCCAAGAGGAAUAGGUCCAUGAAGGUAAAAAUGCCUACGGCCUACAAAAGUCAUACUGCAGCCCCAGGGAAAAGAGGGCAAAAUGUGAAUCCUGGAGAUAAUUUACAGCUGUGUGAAGGAUGAAUCCCACCGGUGGUUCCUAACUGUGAUCUGGCUGCAUCAGAUGUACCUGAGUAAACACAGAUUCCCUACUAUGCAGCCGUAAAAAGGAAUGAGAUCAUGACCUUUGCAGGGACAUGGAUGGAGCUGGAAGCUGUUAUCCUCAGCAAACUAAUGCAGGAACAGAAAACCAAACACUGCAUGUUCUCACUUAUAAGCGGGAGCUGAAGAUGAGAACACAUGGACACAUGGCAGGGAACAACACACACUGGAGCUUGUCAGGGCAUGGGUGGGGCGGGGGAAGGAGAGCAUCAGGAAGAAUAGCUAAUGGAUGCUGGGCUGAAUACCUAGGUGAUGGGUUGGUCUGUGCAGCAAACCAUCAUGGCACACGUUUAUCUAUGUAACAAACAUGCUGCACAUGUACACCAGAACUUAAAAUAAAAGUUGAAGGAAAAAAAGGAAAAGAAAACACAGAUUCCUGGGCCCCAAGCAUGUUUGAUUUAGGAGGAAGGGGAGGGGUGUGUUGGAAGACAGAGCAUGCCAGUGGAGGACCAGGAGAACAAUCAAAUUGCAGUUUAGCUGAUGACCUGAGAAACAACGAAGGCCCUAGCCAGGGCAGUGUCAGUGAGACUGGGAAAAAGUCAGCCUGGGGAAGCAUUGCACAGGUGAAUGACAGACUGACAACCAACCAAUGGUGGGGUCUGAGAUACAGGAGAUACCUGGAUGGCAGCAGGAGAGAAGGUAGUAUUUCUAGUCUCAGCCAGAAGUGGAAAAUGUGAUCAACUGUUUUUCUCUGCUGCAAGUUCACCAUGAACAUACUUGUGGAAGGGCUGAGAAUACUGUUAGCUUGGCACAAGCUUUCACCAGGCUUUCAGCUUUUUGGUAGGCUGCCCAUUAGGCUGUGCAGAUGCCCAGGGGAGUGCUGUGGAGGGGUGUGUGGUAGAAGCAGGCCCUGUGUUUGCCUGGAGGAAGAGUGAGAUAAUGGGUAGAAAUGCUAGAACUGAAGCUCUGUGGCUCUGGGCUGAGUCCAGGCCUAAGGCCCGAGGCCAGUACGGUGUCUGUAUCGGGUGGCCCCUUCUCACUGGGAGAGCCCUAGACUCUGGUUCCUUGCUUGUUGAUGGAGGCACAGCAAGAAUAAUCAAACACCUGAGAAACUUGGAAGAUGAUUAUUGAAACCAGAAUUUUUUUUCAGAAUUCUCUGGAAAAAAUAAAAAAAACAAAAAACAAAAAACAAAAAAACCAAAACAACCCUGACCCCAGAAAUUCUCAGGGACUUUCUUGUACCAGCAUUUGGCCACUUGAGCAUUGCGGCAAAAAUCUUAGCAGAUAAUAGUCUUCAUUUUUCCCUGAUCCUUAUUCUUAUUUUAGUUUCUUCCUCUUCUGCAGUCUUUCCCUCUCUUCUCUUCUUUUGUCCUUCUCUUUCUCUUUCCCACCCAUCUUCAACUUCCUUAUCCCUCUCUCUUCUCCUUUGCCUCUUGUACUCAUCUGCUCCCCUCUUCUCUUUUCUCCUCCCCUUCUCUCUAGUCAGUGAGUCAGCAUGCCUGGGAGAUGUGGAGCCCCAUGCCAUAUGCAGAUGACUGUAGUUUUGGGAUAUGUGUACGCAUGUGACUUAGUUCUCAGUCUGCUGCAUGUGGCUCAAAAGGUGUGAAGACUGGUGUCACUUUCCAAUUUAGGCAAUUGCAUCUGGCUUACCUAAAAUUUCACUUGCUGCUUCAAUCAGCAAAGUGUUUCUUCCAUACUGUGACUUGGUGAUGAGAGGUUUCAUGAGCUGCAAUACCAGAGGCAGUUGCAUUUCAUUCAGAUGAAGGAAUGAAUUUUACUAAUCCACAGCCCGAGAGUAUAAGAUAAUAGCUCACCAUUUCUUCCCCUCCAUCUCUCUUACUUUACCUCUGUAGGAAAGCAGAUCUUUCUCUUCUUCUUCCCUGUUGCUGAAGCCUAGAUAUAUUGCUCUAUUUUCAACCCUUCCAUGUCUAAAUUAGUUGAGGCUGUUGAGCAGUGGGAGUACUAGGGAAUUAUGAGUCAGGAACUCCAAAUCUAAGCUCUGACUUUGUCAUUUACAAGCUGUGACCUUGGGCAAGUCAUUCAAAUGAGAAAAAUCAUACUGACCCUGCCUUUUUCAUAGGCACAGUGGAAUGUGAGAAUGUAAAUGAAUGCAUUUGCAGUUGAUACUCUUCAUUCAUUCAUUGCAUAAAUGUCUCCUGGCUGCCUACUAUGUGCUGCCACUCUUCUAGCCAUGGGGGAUACAGUAGACGAUAAGAUAGAUAAGACCUUGGCACUUAUGAGUUUGAUUAUAGUGCAUGAGCAGUGAACAAAGAUAUAUGGUUCUAUGGUAUGCUAAAUUCUAUGGAGGGCUAGAGCAAGCAGAGAAUAGCUCAGGAUGGUAGUAGGAUGGGGAGACCUAUCUUCCAGGGGCUGGUCAGGAAAGGCCCUUCUGAGGAGAUAAUGUUUGAGCUGACACCUGAAGAAACAGAAACAAGCAGGAAAAAGAAAGAGCAGAGUGUAGGGCAUUUCAAGUUCUAGGUACAGCAAAUGCAAAGACCUGGAGAAGGGGGAUAGCUUUGUAGAAAGAAGUGUGUACCUGAUAUAACUGGUGCUUAGUGAACUAGGAGGGCAUGGCCACAAAUGAGGUUUGAGUUGUGUUUUUAAGAGACUGUUUGGCUGCUUGCAUAGAGAGAGUUUGAGGUGGCUUCCUAGGUAUUCCACAUUGUAGGCAGGAUUUCUACAUCAUAGACAAGGUCAGCAAUUAUACUGUUCAACACUAAGUAUCAGUCUUUUAAAAAUUUAUUUAUUUAUUUGAGACAGGGUCUUGCUCUGUUGCCCAAGCUGGCUGGAAUGCAGUGGUGCAAUCAUAGCUCACUGCUGCCUCGAAUUCCUGGGCUCAAGCAAGGCUCCUGCCUCAGCUUUCCAAGUAGCUAGGACUACAGGCAUGCACCCCACCAUGCAGGGCUAAUUUUUAAAUUUUUUGUAGACCAGAGUCUUGCUAUGUUGCCCAGGACGGUCUUGAGACCUCAAGGAAUCCUCCUGCCUUUGGCCUCCCAAUAUACAGGGAUUACAGAUGUGAACCACCACACCCAGCCUAAAUUUAAUUUUUUAAAGACGAUUUUUUUUUAAGAGAAGUUUUAUGUUCACAGCAAAAUUGAGAGGAAGGUACAAAGAUUUCCCAUAUAUCCCCUGCCCCUACACAGGCAUCGCCUCUCCCAUUAUCAACAUCCCCCACCAGCAACAUACUUUGUUAUGCUCUAUCAUAUGCAGAACUUACAAUGAUCCAGUGAAGUAGGUGGUAUUAACAAAAUGUUUUUGAGAGAAGGUUCAAUUAGGUUCAAUGAGCUUAUACACAGUGAAACUAGCAGCAGAACUCAGGUCUUCUGCCAUAUUGGGACAUGAGAGAGAUUUUCAGAAGAGGAAUUGACAUCUUGGGCACCCUGUAGCCAAGAUAUAUCAGCUACUUUAGGAAGAGACAAGCUGGAGGGAUAGGACAGGAAAAGUUGGGUUUUAAUUGCCAGGGAAAUUGGUUUAGAUUGCCUUGAAAGUAUAGCAGGAUUUUACUGUAAUUAUUGGUCUUAAAAUUCAGCCAUUAAAAUCUCCUAACAGGAGAUAGGAGCCUGGCUUUGUCUCUGAAUGUGCCAGGAGAGAACUGUCUCCAUUAUGCCUCUCAUUGGCACACAGAGGCUGGGAAACUUUCACACACUGUCUCGUUUUGUGAGCAUUUGCAGUUGUAACGGAAGACAGCUCUAUUUUAUAUCUUGCUUUGUUUUCAAGCCAUUGCAUGAAAGCCAGGCCUCUUGGCUCUUAAAAAUUAACCCCCCCAAACCUAUUUUAGUUUAUAGCAGUGAUACAGGUUAAUGAAAAGAAUAUUUAAAACAAUUCAGAGAGUAGUAUAAAAAUGAAAAUAAAAAUCCAUUUUUUUCUAUCUUCUCACACAGACAUGGAUUCUUGCAUAUUCACAUAUACAUACAUCCAAUCAUAUAUAUAAUGUACACUUGAAUUCCUGGAAUCCAUCUAUACAUGCUAUUAUAUAAUGUGAUGUUUUAUUUAACAUUGUCAUAGAUAACUUUCUAUAUUAGUACCUAAAGAUGUACCUUAUUUUCUCUAACGAUUGUUUUAAAUUCCACUGUCCAAAUUCCUCUAUUGAUAGGGGGUAAAUAUCUUUGAGCAUAUAUUUUUAUAUAUUGUAUAUGCAGUAUACCUGUGGGAAAAAUUCCUAGAAGUGGAAUUACUAAGAGAAAGAACAUAUGCAGUUCACAUUAUGAUAGAUCCUGCAUUGUUGCUAAGAACCUUGCACUAAAUUAAGUUUCUAACAGUAUAUGAGACUACCUGUUUUCCCACAUUCUUGUCAAAGCUGAGUAUUGACAAACUUCUUAAUCUUUGGUAGACUCAUACAUGAGAAAUGAUGAUAAUGGUUUACUUGAAACUGGCAUUAAAGGUUGAUAUUUCUGUGAA